Molecule: ribosomal RNA, 497 nt
Filed under: uncultured bacterium
Lineage: Bacteria
Description: partial 16S ribosomal RNA
Rfam family: Bacterial small subunit ribosomal RNA
Source: RNAcentral
GAUGAACGCUGGCGGCGUGCCUAAUACAUGCAAGUCGAGCGAACGGACGAGAAGCUUGCUUCUCUGAUGUUAGCGGCGGACGGGUGAGUAACACGUGGAUAACCUACCUAUAAGACUGGGAUAACUUCGGGAAACCGGAGCUAAUACCGGAUAAUAUUUUGAACCGCAUGGUUCAAAAGUGAAAGACGGUCUUGCUGUCACUUAUAGAUGGAUCCGCGCUGCAUUAGCUAGUUGGUAAGGUAACGGCUUACCAAGGCAACGAUGCAUAGCCGACCUGAGAGGGUGAUCGGCCACACUGGAACUGAGACACGGUCCAGACUCCUACGGGAGGCAGCAGUAGGGAAUCUUCCGCAAUGGGCUAAAUCCUGACGGAGCAACGCCGCGUGAGUGAUGAAGGUCUUCGGAUCGUAAAACUCUGUUAUUAGGGAAGAACAUAUGUGUAAGUAACUGUGCACAUCUUGACGGUACCUAAUCAGAAAGCCACGGCUAACUACGUG